Molecule: unclassified non-coding RNA, 245 nt
Filed under: fungal sp.
Lineage: Eukaryota; Fungi
Description: partial contains 5.8S ribosomal RNA, internal transcribed spacer 2, and large subunit ribosomal RNA
Source: RNAcentral
CGCACAUUGCGCCCCUCGGUAUUCCGUGGGGCAUGCCUGUUCGAGCGUCAUCUACACCCUCAAGCACUGCUUGGUGUUGGGCGUCUGUCCCGCCUCCGCGCGUGGACUCGCCCCAAAGGCAUUGGCAGCGGUCUCUGGCACCUCAACGCGCAGUACAAUGCGACUGUUAGGGUGCCGUGGGCGCGACCAUAAAGCUAUUUACCGUCUUUGACCUCGGAUCAGGUAGGGAUACCCGCUGAACUUAA